Molecule: ribosomal RNA, 497 nt
Filed under: uncultured bacterium
Lineage: Bacteria
Description: partial 16S ribosomal RNA
Rfam family: Bacterial small subunit ribosomal RNA
Source: RNAcentral
ACGAACGCUGGCGGCGUGCCUAAUACAUGCAAGUCGAACGAGAGCGACCGGUGCUUGCACUGGUCAAUCUAGUGGCGAACGGGUGAGUAACACGUGGGUAACCUGCUCAUCAGAGGGGGAUAACAUCCGGAAACGGAUGCUAAAACCGCAUAGGUCUUCGAGCCGCAUGGCUUGAAGAGGAAAAGAGGCGCAAGCUUCUGCUGAUGGAUGGACCCGCGGUGCAUUAGCUAGUUGGUGAGGUAACGGCUCACCAAGGCCGUGAUGCAUAGCCGACCUGAGAGGGUGAUCGGCCACAUUGGGACUGAGACACGGCCCAAACUCCUACGGGAGGCAGCAGUAGGGAAUCUUCCGCAAUGGACGCAAGUCUGACGGAGCAACGCCGCGUGAGUGAAGAAGGUUUUCGGAUCGUAAAACUCUGUUGUUAGAGAAGAACAAGUGCUAGAGUAACUGUUAGCGCCUUGACGGUAUCUAACCAGAAAGCCACGGCUAACUACGUG